UUGACCUCGGAUUCAGGUAGG
This 21-nucleotide ribosomal RNA is filed under the name Paraphoma radicina. RNAcentral's name for it is "partial 28S ribosomal RNA". The record is from RNAcentral. Lineage: Eukaryota; Fungi; Ascomycota; Dothideomycetes; Pleosporales; Phaeosphaeriaceae.